CAUGAACUUGUCAGCACCAAUUUGAACGUUGAAUGCUGUGGUCAGCCAGGGCUGUGCCGAGGAGUGGCAGCUUCCCCUUUUUGCCCCUGAGGCUGUACCUGCUCCACACCUCAUUGGUGGCCAUAGCCCGCAUCACCCUCCGGGCACACUCUCCAGGGCUGGAGCCACCAAUGAGGCUCAGAUGGUGGAUCUAGGAUAUCAACCAGAAUCAACAAGGAACUCCAGCACAGUUAGGCGCUCCUCGAUGUUUUGGAGUUCUUCCAAAGUUUGGGAGACCCCAAGGUCGAGCACACUGCUGUCCUGUCC
Hypomesus transpacificus is the source of this 306-nucleotide long non-coding RNA. RefSeq lists it as uncharacterized. Lineage: Eukaryota; Metazoa; Chordata; Actinopteri; Osmeriformes; Osmeridae. The transcript has 3 exons. The record is from RefSeq and is a predicted model, not a curated record.